GUCACACCAAGGAAACGAUUCGUGGUCAAGACUGUUCCCGUGAAACGGGUAUCUCACGGUCGAAAGAGCACAGCUGUGUUCCGGAGCCCUUACGACAGCUACGAUGAGGCGGACGCCAUCCGCACGGCGGACCGUGACGUCCCCCACAAGGUCUCCUCCUACCUGCCGCCCUACAAGCCGGCCGUCGUGGCCAAAAAGGCCGUCCACGUACCGAUCCACACGUCGCACGACGUGCACGUGCCAGUCCAUGCACCCCACGACACCCAUAUACCAGUCCACACACCCCACGACACUCAUGUACCAGUCCACACCUCCCACGACUCUCAUGUUCCAGUCCACGCCUCCCACGACGCACAUGUUCCAGUUCACGCCUCCCACGACGCACAUGUUCCAGUUCACGCCUCCCACGACGCACAUGUUCCAGUUCACGCCUCCCACGACGCACAUGUUCCAGUUCACGCCUCCCACGACGCACAUGUUCCAGUUCACGCCUCCCACGACGCACAU
Long non-coding RNA from Pollicipes pollicipes, 507 nucleotides. RefSeq lists it as uncharacterized. The transcript is spliced from 3 exons. The record is from RefSeq and is a predicted model, not a curated record. Lineage: Eukaryota; Metazoa; Arthropoda; Thecostraca; Pollicipedomorpha; Pollicipedidae.